RNAcentral lists this ribosomal RNA (254 nucleotides) under uncultured bacterium. Its description in RNAcentral is "partial 16S ribosomal RNA". It matches the Rfam family "Bacterial small subunit ribosomal RNA", at positions 524 to 776 of the family's 1533-position model. The record is from RNAcentral.
UACGUAGGGUGCAAGCGUUAAUCGGAAUUACUGGGCGUAAAGCGUGCGCAGGCGGUCUGUUAAGACCGAUGUGAAAUCCCCGGGCUUAACCUGGGAACUGCAUUGGUGACUGGCAGGCUUUGAGUGUGGCAGAGGGAGGUAGAAUUCCACGUGUAGCAGUGAAAUGCGUAGAGAUGUGGAGGAAUACCGAUGGCGAAGGCAGCCUCCUGGGCCAACACUGACGCUCAUGCACGAAAGCGUGGGAAGCAAACAGG